GACGAACGCUGGCGGCGUGCUUAACACAUGCAAGUCGAACGGAAAGGCCCUGCUUUUGUGGGGUGCUCGAGUGGCGAACGGGUGAGUAACACGUGAGUAACCUGCCCUUGACUUUGGGAUAACUUCAGGAAACUGGGGCUAAUACCGGAUAGGAGCUCCUGCUGCAUGGUGGGGGUUGGAAAGUUUCGGCGGUUGGGGAUGGACUCGCGGCUUAUCAGCUUGUUGGUGGGGUAGUGGCUUACCAAGGCUUUGACGGGUAGCCGGCCUGAGAGGGUGACCGGCCACAGUGGGACUGAGAUACGGCACAGACUCCUACGGGAGGCAGCAGGGGGGAAUAUUGCACAAGGGGCGGAGGCCUGAUGCAGCAACGCCGCGUGCGGGAUGACGGCCUGCGGGUUGUAAACCGCUUUCGCCUGUGACGAAGCGUGAGUGACGGUAAUGGGUAAAGAAGCACCGGCUAACUACGUG
This 468-nucleotide ribosomal RNA is filed under the name uncultured bacterium. RNAcentral describes it as "partial 16S ribosomal RNA". It matches the Rfam family "Bacterial small subunit ribosomal RNA", at positions 28 to 507 of the family's 1533-position model. The record is from RNAcentral.